RNAcentral lists this ribosomal RNA (194 nucleotides) under uncultured Weissella sp. Its description in RNAcentral is "partial 16S ribosomal RNA". It matches the Rfam family "Bacterial small subunit ribosomal RNA", at positions 338 to 524 of the family's 1533-position model. Lineage: Bacteria; Bacillati; Bacillota; Bacilli; Lactobacillales; Lactobacillaceae. The record is from RNAcentral.
CCUACGGGAGGCAGCAGCAGGGAAUCUUCCACAAUGGGCGAAAGCCUGAUGGAGCAACGCCGCGUGUGUGAUGAAGGGUUUCGGCUCGUAAAACACUGUUGUAAGAGAAGAAUGACAUUGAGAGUAACUGUUCAAUGUGUGUCGGUAUCUUACCAGAAAGGAACGGCUAAAUACGUGCCAGCAGCCGCGGUAAU